This 423-nucleotide ribosomal RNA is filed under the name uncultured bacterium. RNAcentral's name for it is "bacterial SSU rRNA". It matches the Rfam family "Bacterial small subunit ribosomal RNA", at positions 358 to 773 of the family's 1533-position model. The record is from RNAcentral.
GGAAUAUUGGACAAUGGGCGAAAGCCUGAUCCAGCCAUGCCGCGUGUGUGAAGAAGGUCUUCGGAUUGUAAAGCACUUUAAGUUGGGAGGAAGGGCAUUAACCUAAUACGUUAGUGGUUUGACGGUACCGAUAGAAUAAGCAACGGCUAACUCUGUGCCAGCAGCCGCGGUAAUAAAGGGGGUGCAAGCGUUAAUCGGAAUUACGGGGCGUAAAGCGCGCGUAGGUGGUUCGUUAAGUUGGAUGUGAAAUCCCCGGGCUCAACCUGGGAACUGCAUUCAAAACUGUCGAGCUAGAGUAUGGUAGAGGGUGGUGGAAUUUCCUGUGUAGCGGUGAAAUGCGUAGAUAUAGGAAGGAACACCAGUGGCGAAGGCGACCACCUGGACUGAUACUGACACUGAGGUGCGAAAGCGUGGGGAGCAAAC